AGUUCGGAAUAACCUGCCGAAAGGCGGGCUAAUACUGGAUAGAGCGAUGGAAGUCAUAAUGACUUUUUCGGGAAAGGGAGCUUGAUAAGAGCCCUCGCUUUAAGAUGAGCCUGCGUCUGAUUAGUUAGUUGGUGAGGUAACGGCUCACCAAGACGAUGAUCAGUAGCUGGUCUGAGAGGAUGAUCAGCCACACUGGAACUGAAACACGGUCCAG
This 214-nucleotide ribosomal RNA is filed under the name uncultured bacterium. RNAcentral's name for it is "partial 16S ribosomal RNA". It matches the Rfam family "Bacterial small subunit ribosomal RNA", at positions 135 to 334 of the family's 1533-position model. The record is from RNAcentral.